AAUGAACGCUGGCGGUGUGCCUAAUACAUGCAAGUCGAGCGAACGCACGGUAAGCUCGUGUUCUUAAGGUUAGCGGCGGACGGGCGAGUAACACGUGCAUCAGCAACUUAUAUGUCGUGGGUAAUAACGGGAGACAAGUGACACUACCGGCUCAUACUUCGAACGGCAUGAAUCAAAGGUGCAUGAGGCCCUUCCCGUCUCAUUUAGCCGAUGUCGGAUUAGCUAGUUGGCGGGGUAAAGGCCCACCAAGGCGACGAUGCGUAGCUGGUCUGAGAGGAUGAUCAGCCACACUGGAACUGAGACACGGUCCAGACUCCUACGGGAGGCAGCAGUGGGGAAUAUUGGACAAUGGGCGCAAGCCUGAUCCAGCCAUACCGCGUGGGUGAAGAAGGCCUUCGGGUUGUAAAGCCCUUUUGUUGGGAAAGAAAAGCAGCAGGUUAAUACCCCGCUGUUCUGACGGUACCCAAAGAAUAAGCACCGGCUAACUUCGUG
This 492-nucleotide ribosomal RNA is filed under the name uncultured bacterium. RNAcentral's name for it is "partial 16S ribosomal RNA". It matches the Rfam family "Bacterial small subunit ribosomal RNA", at positions 29 to 507 of the family's 1533-position model. The record is from RNAcentral.